UUAGUUCGUGGAGUGAUUUGUCUGCUUAAUUGCGUUAACGAACGAGACCUUAACCUGCUAAAUAGGAGCGCAUAUCUUCGGAUAAGCGCCUUUCUUCUUAGAGGGACUUUAUGCGUUUCAGCAUGAGGAAGUUUGAGGCUAAAACAGG
Molecule: ribosomal RNA, 148 nt
Filed under: Dinophyceae sp.
Lineage: Eukaryota; Dinophyceae
Description: partial small subunit ribosomal RNA
Rfam family: Eukaryotic small subunit ribosomal RNA
Source: RNAcentral